Molecule: ribosomal RNA, 253 nt
Filed under: uncultured bacterium
Lineage: Bacteria
Description: partial 16S ribosomal RNA
Rfam family: Bacterial small subunit ribosomal RNA
Source: RNAcentral
UACGAAGGGGGCUAGCGUUGCUCGGAAUCACUGGGCGUAAAGCGCACGUAGGCGGACUCUUAAGUCGGUGGUGAAAUCCUGGAGCUCAACUCCAGAACUGCCUUCGAUACUGAGAGUCUCGAGUCCGAGAGAGGUGAGUGGAACUGCGAGUGUAGAGGUGAAAUUCGUAGAUAUUCGCAAGAACACCAGUGGCGAAGGCGGCUCGCUGGCUCGGUACUGACGCUGAGGUGCGAAAGCGUGGGGAGCAAACAGG